GGGUCUGUAGCUCAGUUGGUUAGAGCAGGGGACUCAUAAUCCCUUGGUCGUAGGUUCAAGUCCUACCAGACCCACCA
RNAcentral lists this transfer RNA (77 nucleotides) under Nitrosomonas sp. Its description in RNAcentral is "tRNA-Ile". It matches the Rfam family "tRNA". From Rfam's summary of the family: Transfer RNA (tRNA) molecules are approximately 80 nucleotides in length. Lineage: Bacteria; Pseudomonadati; Pseudomonadota; Betaproteobacteria; Nitrosomonadales; Nitrosomonadaceae. The record is from RNAcentral. RNAcentral also lists the same sequence under 17 other names.